AACAAAGUGGCUGUAGUUUAGUGGUAAGAAUUC
This 33-nucleotide small RNA is filed under the name Arabidopsis thaliana (thale cress). RNAcentral describes it as "ATSL294370". Lineage: Eukaryota; Viridiplantae; Streptophyta; Magnoliopsida; Brassicales; Brassicaceae. The record is from RNAcentral.